RNAcentral lists this ribosomal RNA (466 nucleotides) under uncultured bacterium. RNAcentral's name for it is "partial 16S ribosomal RNA". It matches the Rfam family "Bacterial small subunit ribosomal RNA", at positions 28 to 507 of the family's 1533-position model. The record is from RNAcentral.
GACGAACGCUGGCGGCGUGCUUAACACAUGCCAGUCGAACGGAAAGGCCCUGCUUGCCGGGUACUCGAGUGGCGAACGGGUGAGUAACACGUGGGUGAUCUGCCCUGCACUUCGGGAUAAGCUUGGGAAACUGGGUCUAAUACCGGAUAGGAGCCAUCUUUAGUGUGGUGGUUGGAAAGUUUUUUCGGUGUAGGAUGAGCUCGCGGCCUAUCAGCUUGUUGGUGGGGUAAUGGCCUACCAAGGCGGCGACGGGUAGCCGGCCUGAGAGGGUGUACGGCCACAUUGGGACUUAGGUACGGCCCAGACUCCUACGGGAGGCAGCAGUGGGGAAUAUUGCACAAUGGGCGCAAGCCUGAUGCAGCGACGCCGCGUGGGGGAUGAAGGCCUUCGGGUUGUAAACUCCUUUCGCUAGGGACGAAGCUUUUUUGUGACGGUACCUAGAUAAGAAGCACCGGCUAACUACGUG